AACGCACCUUGCGCUCCCUUGGUAUUCCGAGGAGCAUGCCUGUUUGAGUGUCAUGAAAUUCUCAACCCACCCUGCUUUUUGUAGUGGGGUUCGGGCUUGGAUUUUGGGGGUUUUUCUUGCUGGUCAACUCUCCUCGAUCGGCUCCCCUUGAAGGCAUUAGCUUGGGACCACUUUGCCUCCCGGUCAGUUCACGGUGUGAUAGUCUAUCAGCACUUGUGAGGCCCGUGGAUUGGCAAUGUUCAUGUGGUCCGGCUCUCCAAAGAGAUGUGUAAACCUCCCUUAAAUCUGACCUCAAAUCAGGUAGGACUACCCGCUGAACUUAA
This 323-nucleotide unclassified non-coding RNA is filed under the name uncultured fungus. RNAcentral's name for it is "sequence contains ITS2". The record is from RNAcentral. Lineage: Eukaryota; Fungi.